RNAcentral lists this ribosomal RNA (429 nucleotides) under uncultured bacterium. RNAcentral describes it as "bacterial SSU rRNA". It matches the Rfam family "Bacterial small subunit ribosomal RNA", at positions 355 to 776 of the family's 1533-position model. The record is from RNAcentral.
UUAGGAAUAUUCGGCAAUGGGCGAAAGCCUGACCGAGCAAUGCCGCGUGUGAGAUGAAGGUCCUCUGGAUUGUAAAUCACUUUUAUUUGGGAAGAACUGUGAAUAUAGGAAAUGAUAUUCACUUGACGGUACCUUUUGAAUAAGCCCCGGCUAACUACGUGCCAGCAGCCGCGGUAAUACGUAGGGGGCGAGCGUUAUCCGGAUUUAUUGGGCGUAAAGCGUGUGUAGGCGGUUUAUUAAGUCUGAGAUGAAAGGCUAUGGCUUAACCAUAGUUUGUUUCAGAAACUGGUAGACUAGAGUGCAGUAGAGGCAAUUGGAAUUCAUAGUGUAGCGGUGGAAUGCGUAGAUAUUAUGAGGAACAUCAGUGGCGAAGGCGAAUUGCUGGGCUGUUACUGACGCUGAGACACGAAAGCGUGGGGAGCAAAUAGG